GUUAUUUACAACGAAGCAGUAGGCUAAACACUUAGAUACUAAUAUAAAGGGCAAGAGGCGUUAAUACAGAGGGCACAAUACGAUUAAAAAAGAUUAAUCUAUUUCAUCUCUUAAUCGACAUGAAGUCGUAAGUAAAAUCUACAAAGAACACCAAAGAUUAAUACAAUAUUUUAAAUAAAUAAAAAAAAUCACAAGACAAAACAU
RNAcentral lists this long non-coding RNA (204 nucleotides) under Mytilus galloprovincialis (Mediterranean mussel). The record is from RNAcentral. Lineage: Eukaryota; Metazoa; Mollusca; Bivalvia; Mytilida; Mytilidae.